This 374-nucleotide unclassified non-coding RNA is filed under the name uncultured fungus. RNAcentral's name for it is "sequence contains ITS1". The stretch from base 1 to 107 matches the Rfam family "5.8S ribosomal RNA", at positions 50 to 154 of the family's 154-position model. Lineage: Eukaryota; Fungi. The record is from RNAcentral.
GAAAUGCGAUACUUGGUGUGAAUUGCAGAAUCCCGUGAACCAUCGAGUCUUUGAACGCAAGUUGCGCCCGAAGCCAUUAGGCCGAGGGCACGUCUGCCUGGGCGUCACGCAUCGCGUCGCCCCCCGCACUCCGCGCCCAGAAUCAUGGACGCGGUGGUGUCGCGGGGCGGAUACUGGCCUCCCGUGCGCCCCGAGCACGCGGUUGGCCUAAAUGCGAGUCCACGGCGACGGACGUCACGACAAGUGGUGGUUGAAACUCAACUCUCGUAAUGUCGCGGCUCCGGCCCGUCGCACGUUUGGGCUCCACGACCCUUGUUGCGCUUAGGCGCUCCGACCGCGACCCCAGGUCAGGCGGGACUACCCGCUGAGUUUAA